UACGUAGGGUGCAAGCGUUAUCCGGAAUUAUUGGGCGUAAAGAGCUCGUAGGCGGUUUGUCGCGUCUGCUGUGAAAACUGGAGGCUCAACCUCCAGCCUGCAGUCGAUACGGGCAGGCUAGAGUUCGGCAGGGGAGACUGGAAUUCCUGGUGUAGCGGUGAAAUGCGCAGAUAUCAGGAGGAACACCGGUGGCGAAGGCGGGUCUCUGGGCCGAUACUGACGCUGAGGAGCGGAAAGCGUGGGGAGCGAACAGG
Molecule: ribosomal RNA, 254 nt
Filed under: uncultured bacterium
Lineage: Bacteria
Description: partial 16S ribosomal RNA
Rfam family: Bacterial small subunit ribosomal RNA
Source: RNAcentral